This 1092-nucleotide ribosomal RNA is filed under the name Staphylococcus aureus. RNAcentral's name for it is "partial 23S ribosomal RNA". It matches the Rfam family "Bacterial large subunit ribosomal RNA", at positions 465 to 1561 of the family's 2925-position model. The record is from RNAcentral. Lineage: Bacteria; Bacillati; Bacillota; Bacilli; Caryophanales; Staphylococcaceae.
GCUAAAUACUCUCUAGUGACCGAUAGUGAACCAGUACCGUGAGGGAAAGGUGAAAAGCACCCCGGAAGGAGAGUGAAAUAGAACCUGAAACCGUGUGCUUACAAGUAGUCAGAGCCCGUUAAUGGGUGAUGGCGUGCCUUUUGUAGAAUGAACCGGCGAGUUACGAUUUGAUGCAAGGUUAAGCAGUAAAUGUGGAGCCGUAGCGAAAGCGAGUCUGAAUAGGGCGUUUAGUAUUUGGUCGUAGACCCGAAACCAGGUGAUCUACCCUUGGUCAGGUUGAAGUUCAGGUAACACUGAAUGGAGGACCGAACCGACUUACGUUGAAAAGUGAGCGGAUGAACUGAGGGUAGCGGAGAAAUUCCAAUCGAACCUGGAGAUAGCUGGUUCUCUCCGAAAUAGCUUUAGGGCUAGCCUCAAGUGAUGAUUAUUGGAGGUAGAGCACUGUUUGGACGAGGGGCCCCUCUCGGGUUACCGAAUUCAGACAAACUCCGAAUGCCAAUUAAUUUAACUUGGGAGUCAGAACAUGGGUGAUAAGGUCCGUGUUCGAAAGGGAAACAGCCCAGACCACCAGCUAAGGUCCCAAAAUAUAUGUUAAGUGGAAAAGGAUGUGGCGUUGCCCAGACAACUAGGAUGUUGGCUUAGAAGCAGCCAUCAUUUAAAGAGUGCGUAAUAGCUCACUAGUCGAGUGACACUGCGCCGAAAAUGUACCGGGGCUAAACAUAUUACCGAAGCUGUGGAUUGUCCUUUGGACAAUGGUAGGAGAGCGUUCUAAGGGCGUUGAAGCAUGAUCGUAAGGACAUGUGGAGCGCUUAGAAGUGAGAAUGCCGGUGUGAGUAGCGAAAGACGGGUGAGAAUCCCGUCCACCGAUUGACUAAGGUUUCCAGAGGAAGGCUCGUCCGCUCUGGGUUAGUCGGGUCCUAAGCUGAGGCCGACAGGCGUAGGCGAUGGAUAACAGGUUGAUAUUCCUGUACCACCUAUAAUCGUUUUAAUCGAUGGGGGGACGCAGUAGGAUAGGCGAAGCGUGCGAUUGGAUUGCACGUCUAAGCAGUAAGGCUGAGUAUUAGGCAAAUCCGGUACUCGUUAAGGCUGAGC